UGGGAUGAUUUGGGUCAGUUUUGGAUGAAUUUUUGGGGAGCACUGGGUGUUACUGGGGGUUUUUGGGGAGCACUGGCUGUUACUGAGGAGCACUGGGAGAGAAAAUGAAAAACAAAGAGAAUAAAAAAUAAACAAAAUAAA
Corapipo altera (White-ruffed manakin) is the source of this 141-nucleotide long non-coding RNA. RefSeq lists it as uncharacterized. The transcript has 2 exons. The record is from RefSeq and is a predicted model, not a curated record. Lineage: Eukaryota; Metazoa; Chordata; Aves; Passeriformes; Pipridae.